Molecule: long non-coding RNA, 204 nt
Organism: Xiphophorus hellerii (green swordtail)
Lineage: Eukaryota; Metazoa; Chordata; Actinopteri; Cyprinodontiformes; Poeciliidae
Exons: 3
Source: RefSeq, a predicted model, not a curated record
UCCCAUUCCGCUAGGGGGCUCUGUAGUUGUUUUGCAUUGGUAGUGGAGGGGAGGUGAAAGAAGAGAAGAAACUUACGGCAGGCCAGUAAUACACCGAGACUGCCGUUAGCUGAAGCUAACAAGCUGAAGCUACAAUAAAAUCAUAUUCUACUGGCGUUCAUGAGUGUUGCCCAACGUGGUGAGUUUUUUUGCUUGAGUUGGAAG